This 29-nucleotide small RNA is filed under the name Bombyx mori (domestic silkworm). Its description in RNAcentral is "piRNA piR-bmo-1554397". Lineage: Eukaryota; Metazoa; Arthropoda; Insecta; Lepidoptera; Bombycidae. The record is from RNAcentral.
UAACUAGGUAAUAAUUUGAUACAGGCGUC